UACGGGGGGAGCAAGCGUUGUUCGGAUUUACUGGGCGUAAAGGGCGCGUAGGCGGCGCAACAAGUCACUUGUGAAAUCUCCGGGCUUAACCCGGAGCGGUCAAGUGAUACUGUCGUGCUAGAGUGCGGAAGGGGCAACUGGAAUUCUCGGUGUAGCGGUGAAAUGCGUAGAUAUCGAGAGGAACACCUGCGGUGAAGACGGGUUGCUGGGCUGACACUGACGCUGAGGCGCGAAAGCUAGGGUAGCAAACGGG
This 253-nucleotide ribosomal RNA is filed under the name uncultured bacterium. RNAcentral's name for it is "partial 16S ribosomal RNA". It matches the Rfam family "Bacterial small subunit ribosomal RNA", at positions 524 to 776 of the family's 1533-position model. The record is from RNAcentral.